AUGUAUGUUUUUCUCUACAAUGCUCAAGCGCUCAGCCACAAUCAUGAUCUCGCUAUUAUGUCAAGCAGACUAAUGGAUUUGGUUAUUGCUAUGACUAUGAGGCCUAACGAUCAAUACCCUAUUCUGCUUUUCCUACAACAAGGACAAUCCCCUACUCUGAUGAAUCUUCCGGAGCACGUCGUUGAUGGAGGUAACCUGCUACUCAUCAGGCGCACACAUCCUCCUUUCGCUUGCUCAGAUGAUGGUGUCCACUUCGAAGACAGUGAGCGAAAUCAACCACAGCACAUCAUUUCAGUUAGACAUACCUUAUCUUAUCACGAAACCGGGGUCUUAUCCGCGAUGCUCUACUCUGACAUGCUCGGAGCUCGUUGGGCUUUCUUUCAGUUGAAAUCACACCUUCUGUCCAAAGUUGCACUCAUGAUCACUUUCUUUCUGACGGUUGCUUUUGCACAUGUUUUGAUUCUACUCAUCCGUGGCCGAAGGACGGCGAACCCGUAUACCUACCUGAGACUGUUGAAUGCCACUGAACUUGAUCAUCCUUCGUUGAGUGGUAAAAGAUCACCGCCGCAGUGGCGGCAUCAGGUCCUCAGCGGCAUGAUACCAUGUGCUGAACCUGGGCGUCGACGGUGA
Molecule: ribosomal RNA, 630 nt
Filed under: Triticum aestivum (bread wheat)
Lineage: Eukaryota; Viridiplantae; Streptophyta; Magnoliopsida; Poales; Poaceae
Description: partial small subunit ribosomal RNA
Source: RNAcentral